CCUACGGGUGGCUGCAGUCGGGAAUAUUGGACAAUGGAGGAAACUCUGAUCCAGCCAUGCCGCGUGAGUGAUGAAGGCCUUCGGGUUGUAAAGCUCUUUGAUUAGGGACAAUAAUGAUGGUACCUAAAGAACAAGCCCCGGCAAACUCUGUGCCAGCAGCCGCGGUAAUACAGAGGGGGCUAGCGUUGUUCGGAAUUACUGGGCGUAAAGCGUACGUAGGCGGCUUUGUAAGUCAGAUGUGAAAGCCCAGGGCUUAACCUUGGAAUUGCAUUUGA
Molecule: ribosomal RNA, 275 nt
Filed under: uncultured bacterium
Lineage: Bacteria
Description: partial 16S ribosomal RNA
Rfam family: Bacterial small subunit ribosomal RNA
Source: RNAcentral